RNAcentral lists this ribosomal RNA (540 nucleotides) under uncultured bacterium. RNAcentral describes it as "bacterial SSU rRNA". It matches the Rfam family "Bacterial small subunit ribosomal RNA", at positions 359 to 917 of the family's 1533-position model. The record is from RNAcentral.
CAGAUUUCGCAUGGGCGAAGCCUGACGCAGCGACGCCGCGUGGGGGAUGAAGGCCUUCGGGUUGUAAACCCCUUUUCUCAGGGAGGAAUAAUGACAGUACCUGGGGAAUAAGCCACGGCUAACUACGUGCCAGCAGCAGCGGUAAAACGUAGGUGGCGAGCGUUAUCCGGAUUUACUGGGCGUAAAGAGGGUGCAAGCGGCCUUUCAAGUCGGUUGUCAAAUAUCCCGGCUUAACCGGGGAGCAUCAAUCGAUACUGUUGGGCUAGAGUGCAAUAGAAGGAAGCGGAAUUCCCGGUGUAGUGGUGAAAUGCGUAGAUAUCGGGAGGAACACCAGUGGCGUAAGCGGCUUCCUAGGUUGUUACUGACGCCUAGACCCGAAAGCGUGGGGAGCAAACAGGAUUAGAUACCCUGGUAGUCCACGCUAUAAACUAUGGAUACUAGGUAUAGGGAGUAUCGACCCUCUCUGUGCCGAAGCUAACGCGUUAAGUAUCCCGUCUGGGGACUACGGCCGCAAGGCUAAAACUCAAAAAAAUUGACGGA